AAUAGAUACCCUGGUAGUCCACGCCGUAAACGAUGAGUGCUAAGUGUUAGAGGGUUUCCGCCCUUUAGUGCUGCAGCUAACGCAUUAAGCACUCCGCCGUGGGGAGUACGGUCGCAAGACUGAAACUCAAAGGAAUUGGACGGGGGCCCGCACAAGCGGUGGAGCAUGUGGUUUAAUUCGAAGCAACGCGAAGAACCUUACCAGGUCUUGACAUCCCACUGACCGGUAUAGAGAUAUACCUUUCCCUUCGGGGACAGUGGUGACAGGUGGUGCAUGGUUGUCGUCAGCUCGUGUCGUGAGAUGUUGGGUUAAGUCCCGCAACGAGCGCAACCCUUGAUCUUAGUUGCCAGCAUUUAGUUGGGCACUCUAAGGUGACUGCCGGUGACAAACCGGAGGAAGGUGGGGAUGACGUCAAAUCAUCAUGCCCCUUAUGACCUGGGCUACACACGUGCUACAAUGGAUGGUACAAAGGGCUGCAAGACUGCGAAGUCAAGCCAAUCCCAUAAAAACCAUUCUCAGUUCGGGAUUGCAGG
This 533-nucleotide ribosomal RNA is filed under the name uncultured bacterium. Its description in RNAcentral is "bacterial SSU rRNA". It matches the Rfam family "Bacterial small subunit ribosomal RNA", at positions 777 to 1304 of the family's 1533-position model. The record is from RNAcentral.